CCUUGCAAAAUCUGUUCCAACUUUUCCUUUCCUUCCCCCCACCCCCUCCCCUAGAUAGACCAAUACAUGUUAAAUAUGUUAAAGUAUAUGGUAAAUACAAUAUAUGUAUACAUAUUUAUAUAGUUAUCUUUUUACACAAGAAAAAUCGGAUUUAGAAAUAAGGUAAAAAUAACCUGAGAAGGAAAACAAAAAUGCAAGAGAACAAAAACAAAGGAAGUAGAAAUACUGUAUUGUGGUCCACACUUAUUUCCUCAUUUCCCAUAGUUCUUUCACUGGUUUGUAGCUGGUUCUCUUCAUUAUUGAACAAUUGGAACUGAUUUGGUUCAUCUCAUUGUUGAAGAGGGCCACAUCCAUCAGAAUUGAUCAUUAUAUAGUAUUGUUGUUGAAGUGUAUAAUGACCCUGGUUCUGCUCAUUUCACUCAGCAUCAGUUCAUGUAAGUCUCUCCAGGCUUUUCUGAAAUUAUCUUGCUGGUCAUUUCUUACAGAACAAUAAUAUUCCAUAACAUUCAUAUACCAUAACUUAUUCAGCCAUUCUCCAAUUGAUGCACAUCCAUUCAGUUUCCAUUUUCUGGCCACUACAAAAAGGGCCACCACAAAUAUUUUUGCACAUGUGGGUCCCUUUCCCUUCUUUAGGAUCUCUUUGGAUAUAAGCCCAGUAGUAACACUGCUGGGUCAAAGGUUAUGCACAGUUUGAUAACUUUUUGAGCAAGGUUCCAAAUUACUCUCCAGAAUGAUUGGAUGCAUUCACAAUUACACCAACAAUGUACCAGUGUUCCAGUUUUCCCACAUCCCCUACAACAUUCAUAAUUAUAUUUCCUGUCAUAAAUUUCCUGUCCAGACCUAGCCAAUCUGAUAGGUAUGUAAUGGUAUUUCAAAGUUGUUUUAAUUUGCAUUUCUCUGAUUAAUAAUGAUUUGAAGCAUCUUUUUAUAUGGCUGAAAUAGUGGGAAAAUCUCAAUGUCAAGACUUCAGUUUCCUCAUCUAUGAAAUAAAAGGGUUGGAUUAGAUGAUAAUAAGAACAUUAAUAAUAAUUAUAGUUCACAUUUAUAUAACAUUCACUAUGUAUUAGAUACUGUGUUAAGCACUUUACAAUUAUUAUCUGAUUUGAUCAUCACAGCAAGCCUAGGAGGUAGAUGCUAUCAUUUACAGACAAGGCAACAGAAUGACUUGCCAGAGUCACACAACAAGUAAAGGCUGAAUUUGAACUCAAACUUCCUGACUUCCAAGUAGCUAUCCUAUUCACUAUACCACCUAGUUGCUCCAUAAUAGACCAGAAAAUGUACUUUCCAUCUUUAAAUCUAUGCUAUUACAAUUGAGAGGUAUAGAUUCAGCAUUUUUGACAUAAACUGAGAUCUUUUGGGGGGCCUGGAGGUAAACUGUAUCCCCUUCGGAGAGCUCCCAGACCCUAGGAAAAGCCUGCAAAUUCCCAUUUAAGUGGUUUCAUUUAGUUAGAGAUCUUGGUCAACCUCCAUUGAAUUGCCACAAACAACUCUCAUUGGUUCAAACUCCCAGUAAAGUGAUUUUAUUCAAUUGGAGUUCUCUGUUUGAUGGUCCUCUAUUGAGUAGCCCAGACAGCUCCCAACCCCAGGCCAAGAUUUAUCCCAUAUAAUCAAGAUUUUGUUAAUCUAUCUCUGCCAAAUUCCUAAUCAGGAGUUUUGCCUGCUAAGAAAGCUUCCUUCUUAGUGAACAAUAAAAAUCCCUUUUUGCCACACAGAUUUUGGGUUUAUGAAUUCUUUCACAUAGGACCUGUGCCUUCGACCAGAGGGGAUCUCCCACCCCAUUUCUCACACCUUAUCAUUUGAUUCCUUGAUCUCAUCAUUUUAGAACCCACAUAUGAGUCUGCCUAGCCCCUCAUCUAACAAGAAAAAAAAAUUUAAAUUCUUUUACAUUUAUUAACCAAGCUCAAACAUUUGGCUUCUACAAUAGUUAAAGAAGAAAAUUCUGUUUCAUACAAGUGGUCAAUAAUGAUCCCUUUAUUUGAUGAAUCAGAGAAUUCUUCAUUCAGAGUCAAAAUUAAGAUUUUUCAACUUCAAACAUUUACUUCAACAUAUUAUUUUACAAGACAGAUCUACUGCCAAUUUUACUUAUGGAAUAAGUAUAUUUGUCUAAGAAGAAAAUUUUGACUUUAUUGCCCCCGACUAGGACUGUAAAAAGAAAAUUGAAAUAAGGAGAUACAUAUGUUUCUAAAUAAUGUAGCAACAAAUAAAUGGUCAACAUUGGAACUCGAGACAGUCACAACUUGGGUUUAAGUCCCAGACCAUUAGCAUUAAAGAAGCAGUGAAUGUUUGCCUUGUCUAAAAUAAACCUUUAUGUCCCUGAGCCCUAUCUGAAAGCUUAGCAGUAUGGAGUUUGUUUAGUUCACACUAGGUCUGGGACUUGUUGCUACACAGCAGGCCAUUCUGGAGAUUCAGAUAAGCUUGAACCCCUCCCUACAGUUGAUUUCCAUGGUCCCUCCUAUUUUAUCACUGACCAUCAAUACAAUGGAAGCUUAACCAUAGAACUGAUGAUGAAAUGGCAGUAUUGGGAGCCACUGGCUCAGAAGCACUGACUUGGGGCUCAGAGUUGUUUGGAAGUCUCUGAACCUACUAGAUUGGCUGUUGGAUCAGUGAAACUGCAGAAAAACUUCUGUUAUUUAACAGACACUCGCCAGGCAAGCUGUCCAGCUGGCUGGAGCAAUGGUAACAAAAAUCAUGGAGGUUCUGUUGACUAGCUAUUGGCAACAUAACAUACAAAAAAUGGCACUGUUACUCGAGACCCUUAAUCCUCCUGCAGGGAAAAAAGUUAGAAACAGAAGGCCUAAGAAUAGGUUGUGCCAAGCAAAGGGAAUGACAGUUGGAUUUCUCAGAGACUCUGCUACCUUCUAUGCAUUUUCUAACGAUCCUUUGAGCUCUCAUGGAAAAAAAAAAACUUUUAAUGGAUAAAAUAUGGAGACAACAGUGCUCUUUCUAGAGGGUCACGAAUAGGAAAGACAGAGACAGUGAUGUAAAAGGUAGGCUUUCUUCAGUGGAGAUAGAACAAUAUAAUGAAAAAAAAAAGACUUUUUUUUUUUUUUUUUAAAGAUAAUUUGAUCAGUUCAGGGUUAGAUAGUAAGUGUCUGAGGCUGAAUUUGAACUCAGUUCCUUCUGACUCCAGAGCCAGUGCUCUAUUCAUUGUGCCUUUUAUCUACCCCUUUUUAUUUUAACAUAAAUUUUUUUUAAAAUUUCGAGUUCCAAAUUCUCACUUUCCCUCUUGGUCUUCUCUCUCCCAUUGAGAAGGCAAGCAAUAUGAUACUAAUUGUACAUGUGAAGUAAAGAAAAACAUAUUAAUCAUAGUGAGGAGGAACAAAAGAAAAAAGCAAGUGAAAAAAGUAUACUUCAAACUAAAUAGAGUUUAUCAGUUCUUUCUCUGGAGGUGGAUAGCAUUUUUGAUCAUAAGUCUUAUGGAAUUGUUUUCCAUUAUUGUCUUGAUCAGAGGAGCUAAGUCUUUCAUGAUUAAUCAUUGUACAACAUUACUGUUAAGGUUACAAUGUUCUCCUGCUUUUGUUCAUUUCACUUUGCAACUGUUCAUAUGAGUCUUUCCCAGGUUUUUCCAAAACCCUCCUAUUUAUCAUUUUUUAUGAUACGAUGGUAUUCCAUCACAGUCAUAUGCCACAACUUGUUUAGCUGAUCCUCAAUUGAUGGCCAUUCCAUUUCCAAUUCUUUGCCAUCACAAAAAAAGGGAUACUAAAUAAAUACUUUUUGUAUAGAUUCCUUUUUCCUUUUCUUUGAUAUCUUUGGGAUACAGACCUAGUAAUGUUGGUUUAAAGUGAAUAUAGUUUUCUAGCACUUUGGACAUAGUUCCAAAUUGUUUUUCAGAAUGGUUGGGUCAGUUCACAACUACAAUGUAUUAGUGUACCUAUUUUUCCACAUCCCCUCUAACAGUUAUCAUUUAAUUUUUCUAUCAUGUUAGCCAAUCUGGUGGGUGUGAGGUGAUACCUUAGAAUUGUUUUAAUUUGCAUUUCUCAAAUCAAUAGUGAGUUUUUCAUAUGAUUAUUGACAACUUUUAUUGCUUCUUGUGAAAACUGCAUGUUCAUAUCUUUUGAUCACUUAUCAACUGAAGAAUUUUUCUAAAUUUAACUCAUUUUCUAUUUAAGAAAUUAAUCUUCUAUAGAAAAAAAUAAAACCUGCUAUAAAAGUUUUUUCCUCAGUUCUUGCUUUCCUUAUAAUUUUGGCUGCCCUGUUUUAUUUCUUCAAAAACUUAGAAUUUCAUGAAAUUAAAGGUAUCAUUUUGCUUCUUAUGAUCUUCUUAGUCUCUUAUCUUAAAUGCUUCCCUUCUCCAUAGAUGUGACAGGAAAAUUUUUUUCAUGCUUCCAUAAUUUAUUUAGGUUAUCAUCUUUUGUUUAAAUCAUUUUACCCAUUCUGACUUUAUUAUGGUAUACAGUGUAAGAUGGUCUAUGCCAAUGCUUUUGGCUAAUUCUGUCAUUUAAGGUAUUAUUUUCUUCUGUACUUUUUGAGCUACUUUUAAUAAGCUUUUCAUUAUCUUUUCAUAUUUUUCUUAUCUCACUCUCAUUUCUUUUCUGUUUUUUUCCUUUAUCACUCAUUUAAUUUUUAAGAUAAAUUUUGUUUUAGUUGUUCCAGUUGAACUUGUGUCCAGUUAAUCUUUUUGUGUGUGUAGUUAUUAUUUGCUCAUUUUCCCAAUCUAUUUCUUAGCUUUGAACUUGUAUUGAAGUUAGGCAUUAUUCUACUUGUGGGGUCUGCAAGUACAGUCCCAAGCCUCAGGCUUUUUCACACUGCUUUUUUCAGAACUAGUUCUGUGCUUCCAAAAUGGAAGUUGAAGAGAGGUGUGGUCACUCCUCCCUCGCAGCAACAACAUUCCUUCUAAGGGUCCCUGAUCCCUUGUAACAGCAAACAUUCCUCUCCACCCUGGAAUUCCGAGCCAAAAAUGAGUAUAAUCAAUGGAAUUGCCAAACAACACCAUAUUUUCCAACCAAUGCUAGCACAGGGAUCCACUGUAGUCUCUUUCUGACAAGUUGCCUGUUCUUAUUUUCUCUGCUUGAGGACUUCUAAAGCUGCUGUUUUUGUUGUUGCUGCUGCUUCUGCUUCAUGGGCACAGCUAUUUUCAUAGCAACUUAUUGUUGUUUAGUCUUUUCAGUUGUAUCUGACUUUUCAAAACCCCAUUUGAUUCUGAAGUGGUUUGCUAUUUACUUCUCCAGCUCAUUUUACAGAUGAGGAAACUGAAACAAACAGGGUUAAAUGACUUGUCCAGGAUCACAUAGCUACUAAGUGACUGAAGUCAAAUUUAUACUCUGGAAGAUGAGUCUUUCUGACUCCAGGUCCAUCUCUCCAUCCACUGUGCCACCUAGUAAACUAUUUCAUGUCAAUACUAGUUUAUUAUUUGCCUCUAAGCCUAGAUUUUCUUCAUAUAUUUCAGUCAAACCACAUAUUUAAUGCAGAAGCAGGAGAAUCCAGUUAUUUUCUAUUAGACAGACAUUAAAGAGAUAUACAAGAAAAGUAAAGAAUGUCUUUCUUUUCCUAAGAUUUUUUUGUUUUGAAAAAUAUAUUUUUCAUAAAAUAUGUUAUUUCUAUUAACUUGUAAUAGGCUUAUUAUCAUUUAAAAUUAAUAAAAUUAUUUCAAAAUUUUAUCAGUUUUGAUUUCUAAUACAAUAAGCAUUUAUAUAUUUAACUCACUUCAACAAAAAGUCUUUGGGGUCCUUAAUAAUUUGCAAGUGGAAAGGGGUCCUGGGACCAAAAAGUUUGAGAACAGCUGCCUUAAAAUGAAAAAGAGUGGAGUUCUGAGUUUGAUUCUACCUCUUACAGUCAAUACAACUUUAGACUUCAGCUAACUCUUCAUUUUUUAAAGUCUAUUUCUCCUCAAUAUAUCAGGGCUGGCAAGAUGGGUCUGCUCUCUGCCAAAUCUUUUUUGUUUGUUUGAUUUUAGCCAAUACAAUACUAUCUACCUGUGACUAUACUUACAUUUGAACAUGCUUUCUCAUCAUGUGCAUUGGCAAAAACAUGACCAAAUUCUGUUUGGCUGAGUUUGAUCUCAGUUCCCUCCCUCUCAAACUACUUUGAGAUACCUCAAAAUACUUUGUAUUUAUUUUAUAUUUAUAUUCAUAUGGAUUGUUGUAUCUUCCAUUGAGAUAUUACAGGAUAUUGAAAAAAAGAUUCCUUGAAAACUCAAAUUGUUUCAUCCUUUAUUUCUGUAUGGUGCUAUUGUGGAAAGGGAACUGACCUUGAAAUCAAGAACUGGAUUCAAGUUUUGCUUCUGAUAUACAUUGGUCAUGUGACCCUGGGAAAGUAAGAAAUUCUCAAAAGUCCCAGGAAAUUCCCUAAUAUCAGAAAUGAUUUUUUUUUUAAGUUGCUCAUCUGAAUUGGUAGGAUGGAGUUCCUCAUGUUCCUUACUAGUGUGAAACCCCAGGUCCUGACACUACCCCUUCCCAAUUAGGCCUUGGUAACUAUAUUCAAUUUAAUUGACAAUAUCCCUACUGUUGUUGCUGCUGUCCCUGCUGGACCAUCAGGGAGCUGAUGCUGUGAUACGUAAGUGAUUUGGAUUUAAGUGAGGGAGGGCUGUGUGAGGUCAACCUGCCUCACUCCCCCUCUAGGGCUAACUGGGACCAGUGGCCCGAAGUAAAUCAAGAAGACUGAAGAUGGCCCUGGAUGCAGUGGGAGACCUGGACCUUUUAAAGUUAAGUUCUUUAACAGUUCUCAGUAUGAUUCGACGUCCCAACCAGUGAUGUGAGAAAUGAGGCAGAGAACGGCCUCUUUUACCUAGUUAAAAAAAAAAUCAACCUGGGAGGGGAAGAUCCUCAGGGUUUCUGGCAAAAAUAUGGGUAGAACCACAGCUAAUAUGAGUUAGUAUAAAUAGAGACUGGUUGUUGUCCUUUCUCCAAUAUAACAUCACUGUUAAGAGUCAAGUUAGUGUGUUCUACUGUGGCUGAUCAGACCAGUCUGAGCCUGGAACGCUCUGUCUCAGGGCAGAUACAAAUAGUCCCUACGAAAUUUGGCGUGGUGUGACUACAGCUCCCAUUGUGUCACCCCUGUUGCUUCAUCACUCGCCCAUCGCCACAGGACUUUGAGAUAGGUAGAAAUGACAAAAUGAUAAUGUCUUUUGAUUCUCUCAUAAAUUGGAUUUAAGGAGACAGCUGCAACAUCAUCACCAGCGUCAUUCUCCUUUCCAGAGUCGUUACCGUUCAGUGGUGGGACAGUCAAAACGACCGGUGGUGAUGACCAUGGUGUCUUUGAUGUCUUAACAAGCUCUAAGAGCUACAUCGCACGUGCUUCCCUUGCCUUGAUGGCCGCUGGAACAAAUUAUUCUCAUCCACCCAUUCCACCAGAGCAAGUUUUCACAUGUUGGAGGUAGACACCACCAACUCACCACAGAGUUUGAGACUCCUGGUUUGAUUAGUUACAGACUAACCAAAAAAGUUUACUGGGGUAUGGCCUCUGUGCAUGUUACAGCUUCUUAGAGCCACAGGUGAGUUAGGUUGAGCAGGUGCACAUCAAAGGUGGAAAGCAGCCCUCACUCCAGAGGUAUUAGUCUUCCCUGAACACCCCAAACAGACAUGCAUAAUAAACUUUACAACGGAAUAAUUAAGGGACCUCCUAGUUCCCUCUCACUCUAACCAAGACAGAAGUUCUUUUUUUAAAGUUCUUUUUUUGACCCUGCUUUCUGGAGAUCCAGACCACUUCUAAUCUUCUUAUCUUCUCACCACUUAGAGAUAAUAGAUUUAAAGCUGGGAAAAACUUUAGUCUAACCUCAUUUUACAGAUGAAGAGACUGGGCUUAGAGAGAUUAGAGAUUUGCCCAACAUGCCACAAAUAAAAAGCAACAGAUCAUUUGCAAUAAGCUCUGCUUUUUCCACUGUGUUCCCCAGUUCUCCAUCUGUUCUAGGAACUUUGACUUGUUUUCAGAUCUUCCAGUUGUCUUUAUCUGUCUCCCCUUUCCAAAUGCAGACUUGGUGGUGCUGAGCACUGUAGAAACAGACCACAGUGACCAGACUUCAUGUAUUAACUGGGUGUCUGGGGGCAAGGAGGAGCUGCUAAACUGGAUUACUACUACAAAUAGCUUAGCAUCCGCUUGCCUUUCAAAGAUGUUCAGAAUUUCAAAAAUAGCUAAUUACAUACAUAUAAUUAUAUAAUCAUUAUAUAUUUUAUAUAUAUAUAUAUGCAUCUGGUUAAUGAAUUAUGUUAUUGCAUUAGUUAAUAGGGAAGCGUUUCAAAUUAGUUUCUGGUUAGGCACAGGCUUAAUUAUUUCUGUAUCUAUUAGUAUUUAGGAUAGGAUUUUGCACCUUUUAAAUGGAUGUUAAAAGGGUGAAUAAUUUCUUCUUAUUUAGGUUAAUUUUAUAUCUAAUGAGAGGUAGAAACAUCACCAAUUGAUUUGGAAUUUAAGAAAGUGGGUUCAAAUUCCAGCUCUGUGAUCAUUUUUUAAAAUUACCUAACUCUUCUGGGCCUAAACGUCUAAAUUUACAAGAUGAAGGCAUUGGAAUAGAGGACUUUUACAAUCUUAUCCAAUUCUAAAUUGGCAAUACUAAUAUGCAGCAAAUAUGCAGCAGGUUUUAUAAUGAGUCAUUUGUAUAUGGCUACAAUUCUCAAGAAGUAGGAAGAGGAAGAAGAGAACUUGAAAUUCAAAGUUUUAAAAGUGAAUAUUAAAUUUUUUGUUUACAUGUAAUUGAGAAAAACCAAAACAUUUUAACAGAUGGUUACAACCUAUGCUACAAUUUGGACAGCAGAGGGAGCAGAAAAAGCAAAUGAUCAGUUUUCAGGAUGUGAAUACAGCUAAAUAAUGCUCACAUGACAUGAAAAUUGACAAAAAUUAACAUUUGAAUUAGUUUUACAUGAGGAAAACAAUUCCAGUGUUGAGAAUUCAAGUUUGAAUUUACAAUAUGGUCUGGUUAUAAUGUUUCACAAGGUAUACUGUGCAACUUUUUAGGACUGUAAAUUUCAAAGGAAGCAUCUGUCUGCAUUUGUAAAGGAUGUUCAGGUCCAGUCUAAUUCAAUCCACCCCAUUCCAUCUUGUCUCAUCUCAUUCCAUCCCAUUCCUUUGUCUUGUAAAAGGGGCAUCAAAUUAGAUAAUAAUAUUUCACUUGAAUAUGUUGCUUUACCACUUAUAAAAACCUUAUCUUUCUAUGUUGACUACAAUAGUAUAAAUGGAAAUAACCAUUGAAUUGAUUGUUAUGAAUCAAUUGAAUUGAAUGUUGCAAAAUUAUAGGGAAAAAUAUGGCUGGGAAGAGGAGAUAUGACAAGAUAGUUCCUCUUGUACUUUUGCAGAGGUAGAAUUCCACUGUCAUAUAACAAUGCAUAUAAUUAAUUAUAUGUCAGUAUGUAGAUACAGAUAUAGACUUAUGUUGACUGGUAUUAAUUGGAUUUCUUUUCUCCUUUUAAAAUAAAAUUCUUUAUUAAAAGGGGUGACUCUUUGGGAUCUAGGAGGGAGGACACAUGAAAAUCUUGCUGAUGUAAAAACAAAAUAUAUCCCAAAAAUCUAUUUAAAAAACCUCUUCUUACAGUAUCCUAGAGGAGAGGUUCUUAACCUAGAGUCAAUGAAUAAAUUUUUGUGGAAAAUUGUGAAAAAAAUUACAUAUUUAUUUUCACUAACCUUUAAUUGGGAUUUCACAUUUUCUUUAAUUAUGAUUAAAACUAUGUUUGUUAUUCUAAGAAGAUAUCCAUACGAUUCAACAGCCUGCCAAAGGGGCCCAUUACACACAAAAAAAUCUUAGGAACAUUUGACCUAGAGUAUCUCUAAGGUCCUUUCCAGCUUGAAAUUCCAUGAUUAUGACUUUCUACAUACUACAUUCAUUUCUUAAACUCUACAGAUCAUAUGACUGAUCCCAGAACUAGAAGUACUUGUGAAAACAGCUUCUCCCCUAGGAAUUACUACACUAACUGGAAAUCAAAGUAUAUUGCCAAAUAAGGUUCCACCCACCCACCCACACAUACUUUCCAUAUACUCACAUAUAUAUAUACACACACUCCAGAUGCACGGAGCGGAAAGUUUAUUUUCUUUCUCAUGGAAGGCAGACACUGGAAUAGGAAAUAUCCUUAAGGACAACAUUAUCCAGUCUCAGGUGAAUCAGAAUCAGAGAACCAGCUGCGUUCUUCUGUGCCCCAGAAGGUGGCCACAGCACCUGGGCAGCCUGUCUAGACUUACCUAUUACUAGGAAUCAUGCAACUCUGCAGCCACAUCUCGAUGUUUGUGCCCAGCCAGAUAGGGCGCCCACUCACCUUUACCUCUGUCAGAGGCUCUGAUAUGUGAGGGAAGCCGGGUAUGGAAAACCUACCAAAGUUCCUGCUAGUGUAUAGGUAACUCUGGAGACUCCAGAUACAUCACAAAAGCAGACAGGUUUGGAACCCUAAACUAAGGCAAAUUUCAGAUGGGGGAUUCAUUGGGGACAUGGCAUAGCAGACAGAACCUUGCCAUUGGAACCAGGAAGAGCUGAGUUCAAGUCCUGACUUGACACCCACAGGGUAUGAUCUCAGGCAAGUCACUUAAUUUCUCAGUGCCCUAAGCACUCGAAGACAAGAUAUCUAUCAGCAGUGGUAGAGGGACUUUCUUCAUCUCAGAAUCCCCCUUGUCAACAAAAUAAUAGAUUUAGUUCUUAUCUUAUAAAUUCUUCUUACUGUUCAGUUGUUUUCAUCAUGUUCGAUUCUGUGACCCCAUUGGGAUUUUCUUGGCGAAGAUACUGGCAAAGAUCAUUACAGAUAGGGAAACCAAGGCGGAGGGUUAUGUGACUUGUCCAGGAUCACACAGCAAGUGAGUGUCUGGGACCAGAUUUGAACUCAGGAAGAUGAGUUUUCUGACUCCAGGUACAGUGCUCUGUGCACUAUUAUGCUACCUAGCUGCCCAUGCAUCAAAUAGAAACAGUAAAAAAGAUAUUCAAAGUAUUUCAGAACAUGCGGGAUUUAGAUUUCUUUGAAGAAAUAAAUAUUCAUAAAUACUAUAUUUGUGAAUAUAAGUUCUAUUUAAUAAAUUGCAUAUUUAAUUUAAGGGGAAAAAAUCACCGUAUUAUAAAUUUAAAGCUGGAAGGGCCUUAGUCACAUCGCUUCAUUUUAUGGAUGAAAACAAGGCUCAAAGAGAUUAUGUCAUAAAAAAUGAAUACUAGAAUUAGGAAAUGAAUCAUGGUUGGAUUGAACCCCAUCCUCGUGACUGAUUUAUGUGGUGUGACUGAAACAACUACAACUGCAGUAGUGAAAUUAAUGGCUGGCCAGGGAACUUGUAUGCAUCUGUCUUCCACUGCUUCCCAUGGGACACUAAAACUCUCAUAACAACAACGGAUAUCGCAUCUUUAAAUAAGGUAUAUUGAGGUCAUGUAUUUUGUUUACUAUAGCUGGAAUGAUAUUUUGAGGCAGAUCCUAUCUAUUUAGAAGUAAGAAAAAUAAACAUUAAUAGACAGAGUAAUUAUUACAAAUUAUUAAAUAACAUUGGGGUAGAACCUUGGGAUUCUAACAGUCACGGAUUCAAAACUGGGAGGGGGACUACAAGCUAUCUAAUCCACUUUCACAUUUUAUAGACAAGGAAACUAAAGCCCAGAGAUAUAGAGUAACUUACUACAAAUUAGUGGCAGAGCUGGAAUUUGAAUCAAAGGUUCUGAUCCAAAAUCCGGUGCUAUCUCACACUCCCUACCACAUUGUCCCCCAGGAGUUACUGAUUCCCUUUACUAUACCUGUGGACCUACUAUUUUUCAUUCUCUCCUUUUCUGAUAUUGUGGGAACUGAGGAACAGGAGGCUUGUGGUCUGGUCCUAUCUUGGAAGGGUUUAUAUUCUUUGCAGAACAAAUGGUUAGCCACUUCUUUCUCUAGCUCAUUUGACAGAAGGGAAAACUGAGGUUAAAUGACAUAUUCAGGGUCAUUUAGCUAGUAAAUUAUCUGAGGUUACAUUUGCAUUCACAAAAAUGAGUUUUUCUGAUUUUAGGCCCAAAAUUUUAUGCACUGUGCUACCAAAAGUAGAUAUAACUGUAUAUACAGAUACACAUUUAACAACUGGUUCUCUAGAAAAGUACAUAUAACAAUUUUAAAAUUUAAUCUGGAUUAUGAAUAUUUUCACUAUUAUCUUCUUAAGUUAAGACAAUCAACAAAAUAAUAAAUGAAACCUGAUUUGUAGUGUUUGCCAAUUUCUGAGGUAUAAAUACUCACUGAAAAUUUAAUAGGUGGCACUCAGGAAUUGUUAUGAGCUGGUUCCAACAUCCUCCCAAAUGUCAAUAUGUUAAGCAUCUAUAAUUUCUCCAGUAGACAUUCUGUUAAAGCAGAUUAGAACUCAUCUUUACGUUAGUAAACGAGGCUCACAGAGUUUGCUGGGACUCACCCAGCAGUAAGUAUCAAAACCUGGAUUUAAAUCACAACUUUUAACUUUAAGUAAUUCUUGUGUAGUAAAGUGGAAAAUGCUUCAUAGUUAGAGGCCGUUGUUGUUUUUGUUUAGUUGUAACUGAUUUUUUUGUGACCCAAGAGACUUAAUCUGAAGUUUUUUUGGCAAAGAUAAUGGAAUGGUUUGCUAUUUCUUUCUCCAGGAUGUCCCCCAUUUUAGAGAUGAGGAACUGAGGCAAAUGUCUUGCCAAGGGUUACACAGCUAGCAAGUGUUUGCGGUCAUGUUAGAACUCAGAUUUUCCAGACUCCAGGCCAGUGCUCUAUCCACUAUUAUUUAGAUACCCUUUUCAUUAGAAGACCUUUAUUCAAAUCAAGACUGACAUUUAACCCUUGUGUGACUAUGAACAAAUUAUUUCACCUUCCUGAACCUCAAUUUCCUUCACUGUAAAAUGAGGGGAGUGUUUACUUUCAGUUCUAGGUCCAUGAUUCUGUAAGAUUAAAUCUAUAUCAUGCAGACCUUGUUUACAGAACUUUCCUAUAAAAUUGUAUUAUUGUUCUCUAAAUUAGUAGCUCAAAAAUACAAGGAAGAAUGUUUAACAUAUAUUGGAUUAUUUGCCAUCUUGGGGGGAGAUGGGGGAAGGAGGGGGAAAUUGGAACAUAAGAUUUUGCAAGAGUUAAUGGUGAAAAAUUAUCUUUGCAUAUGUUUUGAAAAUAAAAAAAGCUUCAAUUAAAAUAUAUAUAUUGAUAUCUAUAAAAAUACAAGGAAGACCUAAUUCAUAUUUUGGAAAAUAUUUACAUACAAAAUGCUCAAAUAAUUAAUAGCAUAGCUUAAAAAAAUAGAUCUCAUAUUUUUGACCCUUGUACUAUACAGAUCAACUCAAGGCCCCUUUGCCACAGUCACACCUUUAGGUGAUGGAAUAAUUAGUAUGGUGAGCUUAUGUAUAGGAAAGGGAUUUGGUGUUCCAGGCUGUUUUUCCCAAAGAUUAGCCUUUGGUAAAUCCUGUGUCAGGUCAGAGUUUCAUGUUGGAGAGUGAAGUGGGAUCUGGCUUUCAUUAAAAUCAACAAAACAUCUGUAAAAACACCCUAAGCUGGGUUUCCCAGCCAAGCUUUUUGGGAAGGGUUUGCUGUGCUAAUAAACAGUGAAGCCAUGCCAUAGCUGAGGGUUUAGCCAGAGUUUAGGAAAGAGCAGACUGACUGGCAAGGUGACCUGGACAUUUUGAAUUUAUUGUGUGGAAGCAAGGACAAGUGCCAUUACAAAAGGGGAAGGGUAGGAUGUAAACAGUCUGGGGAAAGGGAAAAGAAGAAUAAGGAAAGGAUGGCACAAAGUUUCCAAGACAUAAGAUCCAGCUUGCUUAGCUUUGGGAAAAGUCCAAAAGGAAAAUUCUGUCAUAGGCUGGAAAGAAUCCAAGGAUUUUAAAAAGUAAAUGGCCAGCAAGCUACACCUGGAGGAGACUACUUAAUACAGAAUAACUAGAUGUUAUACUGUGCAGGUAAUCUGACACCACAGCAAAUAUUAACUCUAAAAACUUUCACUUUGAGGUUUCUUGGAAUAAUAUCCAAUUG
RNAcentral lists this long non-coding RNA (13811 nucleotides) under Sarcophilus harrisii (Tasmanian devil). RNAcentral's name for it is "lncRNA (ENSSHAG00000021110.1)". Lineage: Eukaryota; Metazoa; Chordata; Mammalia; Dasyuromorphia; Dasyuridae. The record is from RNAcentral.